UGUUGUCAACUAGGUGAUAUAACCUAUAAAAUUUUUUUCUAGGAAUUGAGAUUGAUUUACAACUGAUUUUGCUGUUGCUUGGUAAUGUUUUGUGGCUCGUACUCAGUUUGUUAAAUACUUGGGUUGGCUCAGUGCUUUAAAUUGUGGCCAGGGAAAUCAGACCUUGCACAGACUGGGGGGAUUUUGUACUACAUAUGAAUAGUACAGAAAUAGUGAUGGCUUCUUAGAUUUUCCUGCACUAAUAAAUACUAAUUUCCUUUUUUAUCAUAUAUGGAGGGAAAUAUAACUUUAAGACUAUGGAAGUCAUCAAUCUUAAUUCAUAUUUAUUCUUAUUCAGGUGAAUAUUGUACU
RNAcentral lists this long non-coding RNA (351 nucleotides) under Bos taurus (domestic cattle). RNAcentral describes it as "long non-coding RNA NONBTAT021727". Lineage: Eukaryota; Metazoa; Chordata; Mammalia; Artiodactyla; Bovidae. The record is from RNAcentral.